UGGGGAAUUUUGGACAAUGGGGGCAACCCUGAUCCAGCAAUGCCGCGUGAGUGAAGAAGGCCUUCGGGUUGUAAAGCUCUUUUGUUUGGGAAGAAAUCCUGGAUGCUAAUAUCAUCCGGGGCUGACGGUACCAAAAGAAUAAGCACCGGCUAACUACGUGCCAGCAGCCGCGGUAAUACGUAGGGUGCGAGCGUUAAUCGGAAUUACUGGGCGUAAAGCGUGCGCAGGCGGUUUUGUAAGACAGGUGUGAAAUCCCCGAGCGUAACUUGGGAACUGCACUUGUGACUGCAAGACUAGAGUGUGUCAGAGGGAGGUAGAAUUCCACGUGUAGCAGUGAAAUGCGUAGAGAUGUGGAGGAAUACCGGUGGCGAAGGCGGCCUCCUGGGAUAACACUGACGCU
RNAcentral lists this ribosomal RNA (400 nucleotides) under uncultured bacterium. RNAcentral describes it as "bacterial SSU rRNA". It matches the Rfam family "Bacterial small subunit ribosomal RNA", at positions 355 to 747 of the family's 1533-position model. The record is from RNAcentral.